This 486-nucleotide ribosomal RNA is filed under the name uncultured bacterium. RNAcentral describes it as "partial 16S ribosomal RNA". It matches the Rfam family "Bacterial small subunit ribosomal RNA", at positions 29 to 507 of the family's 1533-position model. The record is from RNAcentral.
AUUGAACGCUGGCGGCAUGCCUUACACAUGCAAGUCGAACGGCAGCACGGGGGGUAACCCCUGGUGGCGAGUGGCGAACGGGUGAGUAAUAUAUCGGAACGUGUCCUGUAGCGGGGGAUAACCUAUCGAAAGAUGGACUAAUACCGCAUACGACCUACGGGUGAAAGCGGAGGACCGCAAGGCUUCGCACUAUAGGAACGGCCGAUGUCGGAUUAGCUAGUUGGCGGGGUAACGGCCCACCAAGGCGACGAUCCGUAGCUGGUCUGAGAGGAGGAUCAGCCACACUGGAACUGAGACACGGUCCAGACUCCUACGGGAGGCAGCAGUGGGGAAUUUUGGACAAUGGGCGCAAGCCUGAUCCAGCCAUGCCGCGUGAGUGAAGAAGGCCUUCGGGUUGUAAAGCUCUUUCGGCGGGGACGAAACGGUUCGUGCUAAUACCACGGACUACUGACGGUACCCGCAGAAGAAGCACCGGCUAACUACGUG